CUUGAGCUCUGAACAGCGCCAGUCGCAAUGCCAGACUCUGCUCUGCUCACGGCCUCGGAGCCUGCUCUCCAAUCUGACAGUGUUCUGGUACCUGGGGGACAGCUGAUGGGACCCUGCUUUAGCCUCGGCUAAUUUCACUCACAGCUUGAUCUCAACCCAGAGCAGGUGCCCACUUGGUGCCAACGGCGGUUGCCAUGGCAAUGCCAACUUCACGGGCCAAGAAAUUGCAAAUUGACCACCACUGGAUAACAAAAACAUGCAUGAACAUUGAAGCCUGAUGGAAGUGUGGCUGCCAUUCUGCGCAUACGACCCCUUCGACCACCACCAAACAUCCAACCAUUGGCGGAAUUUAGUUUGAAAUGCCUCUUUCCUGGUAAUAAGGGUAUAAUAACAACUCACUGAAAACUGAAAGAGCACUUCAUGAUGCUGGAUGGCUUCUUUUUGGUUUUUAUGACAACUGGUCUAAUACAUAUGUUAACCACUGUGCACAUGUAUAGGUAUUGACUGCACAAGUCUCCUUGUUGCGGGAGAACUAAGCUCACACAGCCAGUGUCAUCCCUCAACCACUA
Long non-coding RNA from Phycodurus eques (leafy seadragon), 569 nucleotides. RefSeq lists it as uncharacterized. Lineage: Eukaryota; Metazoa; Chordata; Actinopteri; Syngnathiformes; Syngnathidae. The record is from RefSeq and is a predicted model, not a curated record. The transcript is spliced from 3 exons.